AUCCAAAACCCAAAAGUACAUAUACACAAUCCUGCCUCUCCAUAAACCUCUAAGAGGAUCAAAAAGAAUAAGUCAUGCGGAGAGAAAACUAAGUACAUAUAUAUACAUCAUAGCAUAACAAAAUAUCCCAGUAACCACUCCGCUUCAAGAGUCCAGACGCCUAACGAGAUGCCUCUCGACCUGCAUCUAAAAAAUAACAACAUAGUAUGGAAUGAGAACCGGAGGUUCUCAGUAUGGUAAAGGUGCCACACACAUAAUAUAUAAGGUCCUGGGAAUACCAGAGGCAAUCCUAGAACACCGACACUCAGAUUAUAGAGCUUAAAGUAUUAAACAGAAGCCAUAAAGGGUGGUUCUCUAAAAAUAUUUAAUCCUAACUUAACUUAACCUUAAAUCUAAAUCCCAUACUGCCAUUCCUCCAUACCUCCAACUCCAUCAUGCAUUUUCAUAGACAACUAAACAGACAAAGGCAAACACAAGAAGGUUACAAGUACUGCAGAUAACAAAUAUACAUUUAGCAUGGCAAAUACAGAUAGGCACACCCAAUUAGAGCACAAGCAAGUAAUUCAAGUAAUAUGCAUAUGAUGCAUGCCUGUCCUAUGGCUGAUGAGGCUCAUCUGUCGGUUAUCCAGCCAACCCGACAAGUCUGAAUUGUACUUAGACUGUCCCCCGACGUGCAUCUCCAAGAGUCUAUGCAUAGUUUUUUCUCAAAUAAUCAAUAAUACUCAAUGGGGGUAACAUUCUCGGGAAUUUAUAUAGUGCCCGGUCACACACUUACGUCGUAGGGUCAACAGAGUAUCGAGUUUUCAAUCUGGUACACGUGGUGGCAAGCCACGGCACUUAAUCCAGGGAAUCUCGUAUCUCAGAUUAUUCAAAUUCAUAAGCCAUACUUAGCCGAUUUCCACGUAACGACCAAAGCUAUUUAUUCAAAACCAAGACAACCCCUCAAAACUCAACUAAUCCGCUUCCUCCAAGUUCCAGUAUUCACAAUUUCAAGCUCCAAUUAUUUAUUUUCAACCUAAUACACAUUCCUAAUACAUAUAUACCCAAUUUAAUACUCAAAGCUCGAAUUUAAUGAAAAUAAAAUAGAAUUAUUGUAUCCUCACCUUACCCAAGCUUCACAUAAGCAAGAGUGAACGUUUCUCUCAAGCUAAAUGGAUCCUAAAACAUCAGAAAUCAAAGAAAUUCAAUAUUCCCACUUAAAAUUUGAAAAUUGGGGGAAAAGAGGGCUGAGAGUGAUUAAACAAGUUACCAGUGAAAUUGUUCCAGUAGAAAUGUAGAGCUCGACGUGGUGGACACGUGGCCGCAAACGGUGCGGCGAUUGGAGCUCGGACGGAGAAGUUACGGGGAUCGGAAAUUAACGUGAGGGUUACGGGAAUGUUUCUCGUUUCUCUUCUCCCUGGAAGCUGAAAGCUUCGUUGCUGCAGUAAUGAGGGAGAAGACAAAGCUGGGUUCAUUUAAUAGGGCUGGUCCGGUUGAACCGACAGCCCGGUUCGAGUCCGGUUCAACCGGUUUGGUACUUUCGAUCCAAACUUGGACCGUUUUCUUCAAAAUUAGUGUCAAAAUUUUCGUUUCGAUGAGCUCUACCCUAAUUUAAUAUAAUAUUCACAUUUCUAAUCCUCCUUAUUAAAAAUUAAUUUAUUGACUAAUUAUCUACUAAUUUAAUCGGGGUUUACAUUCUACCCACCUAACAAAGAAUUUUGCCCUCAAAAUUCAAAUCUAGUUACCUGAAAAGAGAUGUGGAUAGUCCUUUCGCAUAUCUGAUUCGAGCUCCCAGGUAUGUUCCUCGAUACCAGCUCGACUCCAAGCUACUUUUACCAAUGAUACUUCCCUUCCUCGUAAUCGUUUAACGCUGGUGUCAUCAAUUCUUACCGGAAUUACCGGAAGUGUUAGAUCUUCUCUUACUUGGAUUGGUUCUGGUUCCAGAACAUGACUUGCGUUAGGAGUAUACUUUCGAAGCUGUGAUACAUGAAAUACAUCGUGCAAAUUCGAAAGGUACGGUGGUAAGGCAAUUUUAUAAGCCACUGGUCCAAUUCUCUUCAGAAUCUCAAAUGGUCCAAUAUAACGGGGAUUCAGUUUCUUGGUCUUAAUAGCUCUUCCCACGCCAGUGGUUGGUGUAACUUUCAGAAAGACAUGCUCCCCUUCCUCAAAUUCCAAAGGCUUUCACCUCUGAUCAGCAUAACUUUUCUGGCGGCUCUGGGCUAUAAGCAUUCGACUACGAAUCUUCUUUAUCUGUUCAGUAGUUUCAGCUAUCAUCUCAGGCCCUAAUAAACUCCUUUCUCCAGUUUCAUACCAACACAAUGGAGACUGACAUUUCCUGCCAUACAGAGCCUCAUAUGGAGCCAUUCUGAUGCUCGCAUGAUAGCUAUUAUUAUAAGCAAACUCUACUAAUGGCAUAUACCGAUCCCAGCUCGCCGGCUGGUCUAAAACACAAGCCCUUAGCAUAUCCUCCAAGGUCUGAAUAGUUCUCUCUGAUUGACCAUUUGUCUGAGGGUGAUACGCAGUACUCAAGCUUAACUGAGUCCCAAAUGCACGCUGAAAAGCUCCCCAGAACCUUGAUGUGAAGCGAGGAUCCCUGUCAGAUAUAAUGGUAGAAGGCACGCCAUGCAACCUGACAAUCUCUUUGAUAUACAUUCGAGCUAAUUCCUCCAUUGUGCAACUUAUUCGGAUAGGAAGAAAGUGAGCUGAUUUUGUUAGUCGAUCCACAACCACCCAAAUAGCGUCACAACCAGAUCGGGUUCUAGGCAAACCUAUCACAAAAUCCAUUGCAAUACUCUCCCAUUUCCAUUGUGGAAUCUCCAAAGGCUGAAGGGUCCCUGAUGGUCUCUGAUGCUCAAUCUUAACCUUCUGACACGUUAAACAUUUAAAUACAUACAAUGCCACAUCAUUCUUCAUGCCUGGCCACCAGAACAUCGCUUUCAGAUCCUGAUACAUUUUAGUGCUCCCUGGGUGGAUUGAAAACCCGCUCUUAUGAGCUUCCUUUAAGAUUCUCUGUCGCAGGUCUCCAAUAUCUGGCACAAUAAUCCGGUUCUUAAACCUCCACAAACCAUCCUGUCCUUCUGACACUCUUCACUGUUUCCCCUGUUCGACUGCUGGUAAUACCUUACGUAACGCUUCACUGUCUCAUACCAAUACAGGUGCAGUAGUCAACCUGUGCUUCAAUGCUUGGAAACUCUCUUCACAUUCCGGAGUCCAGAUAAAAGGUUUAUCCUUCCUAGUCAACUUAGUUAAAGGUAAGGCGAGCUGUGAAAAUCCUUUAAUGAAUCUGCGAUAAUACCCCGCCAAACCUAAAAAACUCCUGAUCUCUGUCACUGAAGUUGGUCGCUCCCAAUUCAUCACUGCUUCCACCUUAGCAGGAUCCACAGCUAUCCCCUGCUUACUCACCACGUGGCCGAGAAACUUCACUUCACUCUUCCAAAACUCACAUUUAGAUAACUUAGCAUAUAACUUCCUAUCUCUCAGAAUUUGUAGCACAGUUCGCAAGUGAUCAGCAUGCUCCUCUUCAGUCUUAGAAUAAACAAGAAUGUCAUCAAUGAAGACAAUAACAAACUUGUCCAGAUACGGUCGAAAAAUCCUGUUCAUAUAAUCCAUAAAUACUGCCGGGGCAUUAGUUAACCCGAAAGACAUCACUGUAUACUCAUAAUGACCAUAACGGGUUCUGAAAGCAGUUUUCGGAAUAUCCUCGUCUCUAACCCUUAUCUGAUGAUAUCCGGAUCGCAGGUCAAUCUUAGAAAACACACCAGCACCCUGUAACUGAUCCAUUAGAUCAUCGAUUCUAGGCAACGGAUAUUUAUUCUUCACAGUGAUCUUAUUCAAUUGCCGAUAAUCGACACAUAGCCGCAUACUCCCAUCCUUCUUCUUUACCAGUAACACUGGUGCUCCCCACGGAGAAACACUUGGUCGGAUAAAAUGCUUACCCAACAGAUCUUCCAGCUGAGCCUUCAGUUCAGCCAUUUCUAAAGGCGACAUCCUAUAAGGAGUAAUUGAAAUUGGACCGGAUCCAGGUACUAACUCAAUUGUAAAUUCAACCUCUCGGUUAGGUGGGAAUUCAUUAAUAUCAUCCGGAAACACAUCUGAAAAUUCACAUACAACCGGAAUCUGCUCUAAACUCUGAUCAUCACCUGAUACUCUCGCAGUUAAUAACAUAAUACCCUGACAUUCGGUUCCAGAACAGUUUACUAUCAUAGAAUUCAAAUAGUAACUAUUCACCACAACCGGUGCUUCUGACCCUUCCGGCAUAAACUGUACUGACUUUUCAGAACAAUCAAGUAAAACAUGAUUCUUGAAUAACCAAUCCAAUCCCAAAAUGAGAUCAAGACCAGUCAUAGGCAAACAAAUCAAAUCAUGCACAAAUUCACGCUGUUGUACUCGAAAGGGAACUUGUGGACAUUCUAUCCUAGUCACCAUAGCUUCAUGAGUAGCAUUAUAUACUUUCAAAUCAUAACCUAGAACCACCAUUCUCAAUCCUAAUUCAUGGGCCUUUUCAAAUGCAAUAAAUGAAUGAGACGCUCCUGAAUCAAAUAAAGCAUUUAAGAUUUUACCAGCCAUUUCACAAUUACCUCUAAUCAGUGUCUCAGAUCCCUCAGCACCAAUGGUAGAAGUGGUGUAUACUCUCCCCGGCUGCUGCACUCUACCAGUCUCAUACUUCUUCUUCUCCGGGCAAUUGGUAGCCAUAUGCCCGGGCUGUCCACAAGAAUAGCAUACUCCAAGUCUGAAUCUGCACGGAACUCCAGGGUGAUACCUUCCGCACUUCUGACAAUUCAGAUCUUGCUGUGGCUGCUUCCCAAACCUUUUUCCUUGACUAGCAUUGGUAUUCGGCCUUCUGUAAUUACCUUGACCCUGAGUCUGCUGCGAAACAAAACCUCCACGUUUGAAAUUCCUACCUCUCGGAGCAAAGUUCCUCCCUGAAGGCCUCAGAAAAGGCACCCUCAAACUCCCUUUCUCUGCUGCCGCCUUCCUCACACAAUCCUCAGCCACCCUACUCUUAUUCACCAAUUCAGAAAAUACCCUGAUCUCCAUUGGGGCAACGAAGCUCAGAAUAUCGCUCCGAAGACCUCCCUCAUAUUUAAUACAUUUCCAUUCAGCAAAAUCUUCAGGCGCACCUUGACAGAUACGAGAAAAGCGACAUAACUCCUCAAAUUUACUGGUAUACUCAGCAACAGUCAUCUGUCCCUGCUUUAACUGCAUUAAUUCAAGUUCCUUGGUAUUUCUGGCUGAAUUAGGAAAAUAUUUCUUAUAGAACUCUGUCUGGAAAACCUCCCAAGGAAUCGCAGCACCAUUAGGAUGCAGGAUACGUCGUGUUCCCUGCCACCAAUAUUGAGCUUCACCUUGCAGCUGAUAAGUUCCAAAUUCAACCCAUUGCUCUUCAGGAACCUGUUGGGCCUGCAACGCCCUUUCCAUAGCCUGAAUCCAGUUAUCUGCAUCAGUGGGAUUUGAGGUUCCCCUAAAAGUCGGAGGGCGAACUUUCAGAAAUGUGGCAAGUGUCAUAGGACCAUCCUCAUCAUUAUUAUUCCCAUAAUUACCCUGAUUUAUCUGAUUACCCAAUGCCUCGGCUGUUGCCUGCAUAGCUGCAGCCAUAUUUCCCAGGGCAGCCAUAAAGUCUACUGGAUCAGUCCCUAUGGGAGCAGGAGUAACGGUGCCUGUCCUACCUCUACCUCGCCUGCGACCGCGUCCGCGAGUCGACAUCUGGUCCCUAUAUACACCAAACAAGUGAUAUUAAGUUGAUCAGUCUCAAUAUCGCAGGUCUAAUGCUUUAAGUUCCAAAUGCAUGCUCACAAACGUUUAUGCCACAUAUAUCAAUCAGAUAUCCUAAUAGCACAUAAACACAUAUACAGAGAAUACACAAAAGCACAAUCAGUCCGUCUUUCAGGCUCUAUAGCAACGAACUGCUCUGAUACCAUAAUGUAACACCCUACCACACUAAGCUUUACGCUUAAGUCGUAAAACGAAUGUGGUGUGGUAUUACGACCUCUAAAAUAAAAUGAGUACAUAUAAUAGCAGAAGAAUUAUAAUAUGCUAGGAGCCUUGAAGAAAAGGGGAAAAUAAAAAUCGCACAAUAAAGGCGCAACGCUCAAGGAACGAGUUAACUUACGUGCUAAGAAAACCAUAACUAUCAAACAUAAGCUAACAGAAGUGGGAAUAGAGUGCCAAAGAUACAAAAUAUCAAGCUCCUAACUCAGCCUGCGAAGUCAAGACUGGCCGGAGAAUAUUUACACAUAUAUAUACAUACAUAUCCAAUACCCAAAAGUACAUAUACACAAUCCUGCCUCUCCAUAAACCUCUAAGAGGAUCAAAAAGAAUAAGUCAUGCGGAGAGAAAACUAAGUACAUAUAUAUACAUCACAGCAUAACAAAAUAUCCCAGUAACUACUCCGCUUCAAGAGUCCAGACGCCUAACGAGAUGCCUCUCGACCUGCAUCUGAAAAAUAACAACAUAGUAUGGAAUGAGAACCGGAGGUUCUCAGUAUGGUAAAGGUGCCACACACAUAAUAUAUAAGGUCCUGGGAAUACCAGAGGCAAUCCUAGAACACCGACACUCAGAUUAUAGAGCUUAAAGUAUUAAAUAAUCAUUUUCCAUAUCAAAACCAAUGUAGCAACCAUCAUCAUUACAUAUAACCAACCUCAACAUAGAUAUCAAGAAUACUAAGCUUUAUACAUUUCCACGCAUUACAGCUUAUCUUAUGGUUAUAUAGCCUAUGUUUUCAUAUAACAUUAUAUAUUAAAUGCAAGAAACCUAAACCAUACCUUAGCCGAUUUCCACGUAACGACCAAAGCUAUUUAUUCAAAACCAAGACAACCCCUCAAAACUCAACUAAUCCGCUUCCUCCAAGUUCCAGUAUUCACAAUUUCAAGCUCCAAUUAUUUAUUUUCAAC
This 6869-nucleotide long non-coding RNA is filed under the name Arachis ipaensis. RNAcentral's name for it is "long non-coding RNA (AIPA_LNC001681)". Lineage: Eukaryota; Viridiplantae; Streptophyta; Magnoliopsida; Fabales; Fabaceae. The record is from RNAcentral.